GACGAACGCUGGCCGCGUGCCUAAUACAUGCAAGUCGAGCGGGUUCUGGGAGGCUUGCCUCCUGGAAUCAGCGGCGGACGGGUGAGUAACACGUGGGCAAUCCGCCUGUCAGACCGGAAUAACGCCUGGAAACGGGUGCUAAUGCCGGAUAGAGCAAUGGGCAGGCAUCUGCCUGUUGGGAAAGGCACAAAUGUGCUGCUGACAGAGGAGCCCGCGGCGCAUUAGCUAGUUGGCGGGGUAACGGCCCACCAAGGCGACGAUGCGUAGCCGACCUGAGAGGGUGACCGGCCACACUGGGACUGAGACACGGCCCAGACUCCUACGGGAGGCAGCAGUAGGGAAUCUUCCGCAAUGGGCGCAAGCCUGACGGAGCAACGCCGCGUGAGCGAAGAAGGCCUUCGGGUUGUAAAGCUCAGUCACCCGGGAAGAGCGACCUGCGGAGUGGAAAGCCGCAGGGGAGACGGUACCGGGAGAGGAAGCCCCGGCAAACUACGUGCCAGCAGCCGCGGUAAUAAGUAGGGGGCGAGCGUUGUCCGGAAUCACUGGGCGUAAAGCGUGCGUAGGCGGUCAAGCAAGUCCGAGGUGAAAGACCGAGGCUCAACCUCGGGGUGGCCUUGGGAAACUGUUUGACUUGAGUGCUGGAGAGGCAAGGGGAAUUCCACGUGUAGCGGUGAAAUGCGUAGAUAUGUGGAGGAAUACCAGUGGCAAAGGCGCCUUGCUGGACAGUGACUGACGCUGAGGCACCAAAAGCGUGGGGAGCAAACAGGAUUAGAUACCCUGGUAGUCCACCCCGUAAACGAUGAGUGCUAGGUGUUGGGGGGGUUACCCUUCAGUACCGAAGGAAACCCAAUAAGCACUCCGCCUGGGGAGUACGGUCGCAAGACUGAAACUCAAAGGAAUUGACGGGGGCCCGCACAAGCAGUGGAGCAUGUGGUUUAAUUCGAAGCAACGCGAAGAACCUUACCAGGGCUUGACAUCCCUCUGACAGGUGCAGAGAUGCACCCUCCCUUCGGGGCAGAGGAGACAGGUGGUGCAUGGUUGUCGUCAGCUCGUGUCGUGAGAUGUUGGGUUAAGUCCCGCAACGAGCGCAACCCUUGACCUGUGUUACCAGCGCGUAAUGGCGGGGACUCACAGGUGACUGCCGGCGUAAGUCGGAGGAAGGUGGGGAUGACGUCAAAUCAUCAUGCCCUUUAUGUCCUGGGCUACACACGUGCUACAAUGGGCGGUACAACGGGAAGCGAGGCCGCGAGGCGGAGCAAACCCCUGAAAGCCGCCCCCAGUUCGGAUUGCAGGCUGC
RNAcentral lists this ribosomal RNA (1297 nucleotides) under uncultured bacterium. RNAcentral's name for it is "bacterial SSU rRNA". It matches the Rfam family "Bacterial small subunit ribosomal RNA", at positions 28 to 1308 of the family's 1533-position model. The record is from RNAcentral.